UAGCAUAUCAAUAAGCGGAGGAAAAGAAACCAACAGGGAUUGCCCUAGUAACGGCGAGUGAAGCGGCAACAGCUCAAAUUUGAAAUCUGGCGUCUUUGGCGUCCGAGUUGUAAUUUGCAGAGGGCGCUUUGGCAUUGGCAGCGGUCCAAGUUCCUUGGAACAGGACGUCACAGAGGGUGAGAAUCCCGUACGUGGUCGCUAGCCUUUACCGUGUAAAGCCCCUUCGACGAGUCGAGUUGUUUGGGAAUGCAGCUCUAAAUGGGAGGUAAAUUUCUUCUAAAGCUAAAUACUGGCCAGAGACCGAUAGCGCACAAGUAGAGUGAUCGAAAGAUGAAAAGCACUUUGGAAAGAGAGUUAAAAAGCACGUGAAAUUGUUGAAAGGGAAGCGCUUGCAGCCAGACUUGCCUGUAGUUGCUCAUCCGGGUUUUUACCCGGUGCACUCUUCUAUAGGCAGGCCAGCAUCAGUUUGGGCGGUUGGAUAAAGGUCUCUGUCAUGUACCUCUCUUCGGGGAGAACUUAUAGGGGAGACGACAUGCAACCAGCCUGGACUGAGGUCCGCGCAUCUGCUAGGAUGCUGGCGUAAUGGCUGUAAGCGGCCCGUCUUGAAACACGGACCAAGGAGUCUAACAUCUAUGCGAGUGUUUGGGUGUCAAGCCCGAACGCGUAAUGAAAGUGAACGGAGGUGGGAACCUUUCGGGGUGCACCAUCGACCGAUCCUGAUGUCUUCGGAUGGAUUUGAGUAAGAGCAUAGCUGUUGGGACCCGAAAGAUGGUGAACUAUGCUUGAAUAGGGUGAAGCCAGAGGAAACUCUGGUGGAGGCUCGCAGCGGUUCUGACGUGCAAAUCGAUCGUCAAAUUUGGGCAUAGGGGCGAAAGACUAAUC
This 882-nucleotide ribosomal RNA is filed under the name Ascochyta astragalina. RNAcentral describes it as "LSU rRNA". It matches the Rfam family "Eukaryotic large subunit ribosomal RNA", at positions 36 to 936 of the family's 3401-position model. The record is from RNAcentral. Lineage: Eukaryota; Fungi; Ascomycota; Dothideomycetes; Pleosporales; Didymellaceae.